This 467-nucleotide ribosomal RNA is filed under the name uncultured bacterium. RNAcentral describes it as "partial 16S ribosomal RNA". It matches the Rfam family "Bacterial small subunit ribosomal RNA", at positions 28 to 506 of the family's 1533-position model. The record is from RNAcentral.
GACGAACGCUGGCGGCGUGCUUAACACAUGCAAGUCGAACGGAAAGGCCCUGCUUUUGUGGGGUGCUCGAGUGGCGAACGGGUGAGUAACACGUGAGUAACCUGCCCUUGACUUUGGGAUAACUUCAGGAAACUGGGGCUAAUACCGGAUAGGAGCUCCUGCUGCAUGGUGGGGGUUGGAAAGUUUCGGCGGUUGGGGAUGGACUCGCGGCUUAUCAGCUUGUUGGUGGGGUAGUGGCUUACCAAGGAUUUGACGGGUAGCCGGCCUGAGAGGGUGACCGGCCACAUAGGGCCAGAGAUGCGGCCAAGACGCAUACGGGAGGCAGGGGUGGGGAAUAUAGCACAAUGGGCGGAAGCAGGAUGCAGGAACGCCGCGUGCGGGAUGACGGCCUUCGGGUUGUAAACCGCUUUCGCCUGUGACGAAGCGUGAGGGACGGUAAUGGGUAAAGAAGCACCGGCUAACUACGU